RNAcentral lists this ribosomal RNA (500 nucleotides) under uncultured bacterium. Its description in RNAcentral is "partial 16S ribosomal RNA". It matches the Rfam family "Bacterial small subunit ribosomal RNA", at positions 28 to 523 of the family's 1533-position model. The record is from RNAcentral.
GACGAACGCUGGCGGCGUGCCUAAUACAUGCAAGUCGAGCGGACCUCUUCGGAGGUCAGCGGCGGACGGGUGAGUAACACGUGGGCAACCUGCCUGUAAGACUGGGAUAACUCCGGGAAACCGGAGCUAAUACCGGAUAGUAUCUUGAACCGCAUGGUUCAAGUUGGAAAGACGGUUUCGGCUGUCACUUACAGAUGGGCCCGCGGCGCAUUAGCUAGUUGGUGAGGUAAUGGCUCACCAAGGCAACGAUGCGUAGCCGACCUGAGAGGGUGAUCGGCCACACUGGGACUGAGACACGGCCCAGACUCCUACGGGAGGCAGCAGUAGGGAAUCUUCCGCAAUGGACGAAAGUCUGACGGAGCGACGCCGCGUGAGUGAUGAAGGUUUUCGGAUCGUAAAACUCUGUUGUUAGGGAAGAACAAGUGCGAGAGUAACUGCUCGCACCUUGACGGUACCUAACCAGAAAGCCACGGCUAACUACGUGCCAGCCGCCGCGGUAA